AGAGUUUGAUCCUGGCUCAGGGUGAACGCUGGCGGCGCGCUUAAUGCAUGCAAGUCGAGCGUACCUCGACGGUUUCGACUGUUGAGGGAAGCGGCAGACGGCUGAGUAACGCGUGAGUAACCUGCCCUCCGGUGGGGUAUAGCCUCGAGAAAUUGGGGAUAAUCCCGCAUACGAUCCUCAUUCCUUGGUUUGAGGAUGAAAGCCUUCGGGUGCCGGGGGAGGGGCUCGCGUCCUAUCAGGUAGUUGGUGAGGUAACGGCUCACCAAGCCGAUGACGGGUAGCUGGUCUGAGAGGACGACCAGCCAGAGGGGGACUGAGACACGGCCCCCACUCCUACGGGAGGCAGCAGCAGGGAAUUUUGGGCAAUGGGCGAAAGCCUGACCCAGCGACGUCGCGUGGGGGAUGAAGGCCUUAGGGCUGUAAACCCCUUUUCCAGGGGAAGAGGAAGGACGGUACCUUGGGAAUAAGCUCCGGCUAACUACGUGCCAGCAGCCGCGGUAAUACGUAGGGAGCUAGCGUUACCCGGAAUUACUGGGCGUAAAGAGCGCGUAGGCGGCUGGAUAAGUCUCUUGUGAAAGCUCCCGGCUUAACUGGGAGAGGUCAAGGGAUACUGUUCGGCUCGAGGGCAGUAGAGGAAGGCGGAAUUCCCGGUGUAGCGGUGAAAUGCGUAGAUAUCGGGAGGAACACCAGUGGCGAAAGCGGCCUUCUGGGCUGUGCCUGACGCUGAGGCGCGAGAGCGUGGGGAGCAAACUGGAUUAGAUACCCAGGUAGUUCACGCCCUAAACGAUGGAUGCUAGGUAUUGGGGGUAUCGACCCCCCCUGUGCCGCAGCUAACGCGAUAAGCAUCCCGCCUGGGGACUACGGCCGCAAGGCUAAAACUCAAAUGAAUUGACGGGGGCCCGCACAAGCGGUGGAGCGUGUGGUUUAAUUCGAUGCUAAGCGAAGAACCUUACCUGGGCUUGACAUGUUUGUGGUAGGAACCCGAAAGGGUGACGACCCCGGGGUAACUCGGGGAGCUUUCACAGGUGCUGCAUGGUUGUCGUCAGCUCGUGCCGUGAGGUGUUGGGUUAAGUCCCGCAACGAGCGCAACCCUUGUCCUAUGUUGCCAGCACGUCAUGGUGGGGACUCAUAGGAGACCGCCGAGGACAACUCGGAGGAAGGUGGGGACGACGUCAAAUCAUCAUGCCCCUUAUGUUCAGGGCUGCACGCAUGCUACAAUGGUCGGUACAACGGGUCGCGAUCUCGCGAGAGUGAGCCAAUCCCCCAAAGCCGGCCUCAGUUCGGAUUGGAGUCUGCAACUCGACUCCAUGAAGUCGGAGUCGCUAGUAAUCGCAAAUCAGCAAAGUUGCGGUGAAUACGUUCUCGGGCUUUGUACACACCGCCCGUCACACCACGAAAGUAGGCAACGCCCGAAGUCAGUGGCCCAACUCUUUUGAGAGGGAGCUGCCGAAGGCGGGGUCUGUGAUUGGGGUGAAGUGGUAACAAGGUAACCAAGGGCAGC
Molecule: ribosomal RNA, 1501 nt
Filed under: uncultured bacterium
Lineage: Bacteria
Description: bacterial SSU rRNA
Rfam family: Bacterial small subunit ribosomal RNA
Source: RNAcentral